Molecule: ribosomal RNA, 325 nt
Filed under: uncultured Chloroflexota bacterium
Lineage: Bacteria; Bacillati; Chloroflexota
Description: bacterial SSU rRNA
Rfam family: Bacterial small subunit ribosomal RNA
Source: RNAcentral
GAUGAACGUUGGCGGUGCGCUUUAUGCAUGCAAGUCGUACGGAACCAUGGUUCUCGGAUCACGGUUCAGUGGCGGACGGCUGAGUAACACGUGGGUAACUUACCCGUGAGCGGGGGGAUAACUUACCGAAAGGUACGCUAAUACCGCAUGGUGUGAACCUGCAAAAGCAGGUUCACUAAAGUCGCAAGACACUCACGGAUAGGCCUGCGGCCGAUCAGCUAGUUGGUGAGGUAACGGCCCACCAAGGCUGUGAUCGGUAGCUGGUCUGAGAGGAUGUCCAGCCAGAUGGGGACUGAGACACGGCCCCAACUCCUACGGGAGGCAG